This 3544-nucleotide long non-coding RNA is filed under the name Cairina moschata (Muscovy duck). RNAcentral's name for it is "domestica (muscovy Duck (domestic type)) lncRNA (ENSCMMG00000006137.1)". The record is from RNAcentral. Lineage: Eukaryota; Metazoa; Chordata; Aves; Anseriformes; Anatidae.
AUGUAUUCACCAGGGGAGGGGCGGGAUGAAAGCGCUUUUAACCUCCCCGCCAUAAACUUUAAUCGGAUUCCGAGCUGUUGCACGGCAUGGACUCCUCGCCUCUUCUCUGCAUCUCCUUCCCCGUUGUCUCCCAUUUCUACUACAGUCUGCUUUACGAGAGCCUUUUCCAAGCGAAUGAGUGAUUCCUUUCUCUUGCCAUGUGCAAUCUUUCCCCCCUCCCCUUUCUACCCUCUCUGGCCUCUCUUACACACACUAUGUCUUUCACAUGCGGUCUGUGCCCCCCAGCCCCCUCCCUUUCUUUCUCUUUUGCAGUGUCUUCGCAUGCAAUCUCUCUCUGAAUGUGCAAUGUCUUUCCUGCUCGGGAGUGCUGCGUCCUUCACAGUGGAUUGGUUCCUCUUUCGGAGCAGAGAUCACGGGAAAAGAGAAAAGCAGUCGAAUAUUGUGAUAAUACUGGAAGCCUGCAGAAGCUGGUUGAUAGGAGACUCCAUGGCUCUUAUUGUGGAUGUACCUAAUUUACUACAGUUCCAAGAAGUUCAUAAAGACAAAAAUUCUCAAGAAUUCCCCAAGUUCACCAAGGAAUGAUGGGAUCAAUCUGCUUCUCCUGUGGACUUCAGUUCUAUCCUAAUUCAUCAACAGAUGGCAGUAGACAACUCCCUACACAACUCCCUAUCUUCACACCAACAGCCUUAUAAAUGACCCUAUUAAUAACAAAGGAAGGGAAGAAAAAAAUAUAUAUAUAUUGCUGCUUAAGUCUUCUGUAUAUAAUGUGUUAAUCUAAACCAUGCAGUGCUAAAAUCUCAUACAGAUUAAUUUUAUGCUGAGUUUGAAUGACUAGAAGCAGCUACUACCUUUGGAAUGGCUAUCAUCCUUGUCAUCUCCUAUGUUUAAAUGAUUCUUUUAUUGAAAUUGAUUCUUUUUAUUUUCCUUGAGAAAGCAUAGUAAUAUAGAUUAUGGCAAAUCCUUUGCUUUUCCCACUGAUUAUAUUACUGUAAUGAAGAAUCAGUUCUCUGAUUGCAGUAAACACAUUUUUUUUUUUCUCCCAAAUGUCUUCAUUAAAGUGAUGGAACAAGUAAUUUAAUAAGUAGUUGUACUAGUUUUUGAGACAUACCUCACUAGAUUUUGGUGUUGCAUUAAUUCCUCCUUCAAAUCAAGUAGAUGGUAUAAUAAACUCAGUGAAUUCUUUAGAUAGAUUGAAACAUUGAGAAACAUUGAGAUUGAAACAUUGAGAAUAUACAUUUUUUUUUUUAAUGGAUGUUGAUAUAUUGGCAUUGCCAACCAAGGAAAAAGCAUUAUCAUAAAAAUUUCUAAGAGGCAUUUUCUUGUGUAAUUUACAAUAGUGUGUGUCAGACAUAGAAAACUUCACAUUAUAUAAUUAUUUUUUAGCUUCAAGGCACAUAAAUUAGGCCUGGAGUUCCUGAUAGAAUUCUGUUCCCACCUCUUUCACUAACUUAUCUUAAUAUUUCUUUGCACUUCACAAUUUGCCAGCAUGUUUCCUAUGAUGAGAGGAAAUGAUUUUAAAGAAAAGGAAGGAAGGAAGGAAGGAAGGAAGGAAGGAAGGAAGGAAGGAAGGAAGGAAGGAAGGAAGGAAGGAAGGAAGGAAGGAAGGAAGNAAGGAAGGAAGGAAGGAAGGAAGGAAGGAAGGAAGGAAGGAAGGAAGGAAGGAAGGAAGGAAGGAAGGAAGGAAGGAAGGAAGGAAGGAAGGAAGAAGAAAUGGUUCUUUGGUUCUUUCAGGACUACUGGAGGGAGUGGCUUACUGCUCUAAACUUAAUGGAAAUGUUUGAAUUCUCUAAGCCAAUGAUUUAAACUGAGGUAGGUUUAACUCAAAUCUUCAAAAUGGGAACACUGAUUUCCCUUCAAUUCAGUGUGUGGAUUUUUUUUUUUUUUAUAUUAAACUUUAAACAUUGAAGAUGUGUUGGCUGUGUGAGUGUGAUACCGAGCCCUGGCGUACUUGGCAAGGGAAAGUGUAUGUCCUAGAAGUAGUGCAGAACAUUUUGCCUCCACACACUGUUCUACAGAAAUCUUGGGGGAAAGCCAGCAGAGUGUCAAAACCAUAAAGACUGAAGCCUCAUUUUUAAAGUUUUUGCUUUCUGCUUUCUUGUCUUUUUUUUUUUUUUUUUUUUUUCCUCUAAGAAACAGACAAAUCUACCUUAGUAGAAUAGGCUUUGUUCCCAUGAAAAAAUGUAUUUCUUUUGAUUCCUACUCUUCCUCUGAUCCGUUUUUUAUUUUAUUUUAUUUAUUUAUUUAUUUUUCUCCUAAGCAUUUUAAACUUUCCUUAUAAAUAGGAAGAAAAGAUAAAUAAUAUGGUAAAUAUUCAAGUCACUGCAGAUAAAUUUUGGCACCUUGUAGUUAUCUAAGUAGUUUCAGCUUGUGUCAUUUUCAUAUGAACAGUUUUGGAAAAAAUGAAAGUAACAUCAAAUCUUUGGCUAUAGGCAUAAAUAAUGGUGCUGCCCCGAUAUUAUCUUAUUCUUACAAAAAAUACAACCAGGAUUAUAAAAAUGAGUUUUUAGCUCAAGUAUAUCCACUUGAUUGAGAAGACUGAUAACAAGACUGCUACGUGUUAGUAAAUAUAAACUAAUAAUAAAAGAUAAGAUUUAAAAGGUAAGUGUUCAUAUACAGAGAAAUGGUUGCAGAAUCUUCGUUCACCUCUAUCGUGCUGUCUUUAUUGUAUUAUCAUAUACAUUUAUUUCCAGGGGACCCUGGCUAUUUAGCAUACUCCCUACAUUUUGAAGAAAGGUAUGUGUUCAAACUGUUCAAUGUGUCUUCUUGCUCCCUGUGUUGAGUGGUAAGGAACUAAGAGAGUGAAAACUUUAUCAUUUGUUCAUCAGGGUUUCUCAUGGUAGUGCUACUAUUUGACUGUGGUGGUGCAGGUGCCAAGACAACCCUGUUGCAAUUUUGUUUGUACUGCCUAUAGGUUUACUUUGGAGUAAAUUAUCCCCAGGUUCACACUUGAAGUUUCCCUGAGAGAAAACUAGCUGUGACAGAUCAAAAGAGAGCCCAGGAGCAAACUGACAUACAAGCAGUGUGAACAGUCAAUGAACUGCAGAGUGAAAUGAAAUGGAGUGCUAAGUUGUUUGACAGCAUGCAUAGGUGACUUAGUUCACACGUACCUUGUCAACUGUUUCUGAAUGGCACUGAUGUCCUGAGGAGACAUACCCUGAAACACCAUUCUCAUAUCUUGAGUUACCUCUGCAAAGAUUCUGGCACAAAGACAUGUACACCAUUUUCUUUUGCUUUUGAAGACAUUUUGAUGUCAAUAUCUUUAACUUGUCAUACAUUUAUUCACAGAAUAAAACAGAGUGGUUAGGGCUGUAAGGGACAUCUGGAGGUCAACUUUCUAUAUUCAAAACACUCUUGACUGUUCUAUUUUCAAUGCAUUUCUGAUACAACACCAAAAAAUUAAAUCAUUAUUUUAUUUUGUUAUAAACAAAUAUUUCUACAACAAGGCCUUAUCUUCAAAGACUGCUCUUCAUGUAUGUGUGAUAUAAAAAAUUUCAAAGUUACUCUUGAUAAUUUCUAUUAUCUCUAUUCUGUUUUAAAUAUGCCU